RNAcentral lists this ribosomal RNA (254 nucleotides) under uncultured bacterium. RNAcentral's name for it is "partial 16S ribosomal RNA". It matches the Rfam family "Bacterial small subunit ribosomal RNA", at positions 524 to 776 of the family's 1533-position model. The record is from RNAcentral.
CACGUAGGGGGCGAGCGUUGUCCGGAUUUAUUGGGCGUAAAGAGCUCGUAGGCGGCUCGGUAAGUCGGGUGUGAAAACUCGGGGCUCAACCCCGAGACGCCACUCGAUACUGCCAUGGCUAGAGUCCGGUAGGGGAGCGUGGAAUUCCUGGUGUAGCGGUGAAAUGCGCAGAUAUCAGGAGGAACACCGGUGGCGAAGGCGGCGCUCUGGGCCGGAACUGACGCUGAGGAGCGAAAGCUAGGGGAGCAAACAGG